UUGGGAUUAGCCAAAUGGUAAGGCAAGAGACUCUGAAUCUCUCAUUUAUAGGUUCAAAUCCUAUAUCCCAAGCCA
RNAcentral lists this transfer RNA (75 nucleotides) under Candidatus Altimarinota bacterium. Its description in RNAcentral is "tRNA-Gln". It matches the Rfam family "tRNA". From Rfam's summary of the family: Transfer RNA (tRNA) molecules are approximately 80 nucleotides in length. Their secondary structure includes four short double-helical elements and three loops (D, anti-codon, and T loops). Further hydrogen bonds mediate the characteristic L-shaped molecular structure. tRNAs have two regions of fundamental functional importance: the anti-codon, which is responsible for specific mRNA codon recognition, and the 3' end, to which the tRNAs corresponding amino acid is attached (by aminoacyl-tRNA synthetases). tRNAs cope with the degeneracy of the genetic code in two manners: having more than one tRNA (with a specific anti-codon) for a particular amino acid; and 'wobble' base-pairing, i.e. permitting non-standard base-pairing at the 3rd anti-codon position. The record is from RNAcentral. Lineage: Bacteria; Candidatus Altimarinota.